This 23-nucleotide non-coding RNA is filed under the name Callorhinchus milii (elephant shark). The record is from RNAcentral. Lineage: Eukaryota; Metazoa; Chordata; Chondrichthyes; Chimaeriformes; Callorhinchidae. RNAcentral also lists the same sequence under 22 other names.
UACCCUGUAGAACCGAAUUUGUG